This 664-nucleotide long non-coding RNA is filed under the name Medicago truncatula (barrel medic). RNAcentral's name for it is "lncRNA gene39942". The record is from RNAcentral. Lineage: Eukaryota; Viridiplantae; Streptophyta; Magnoliopsida; Fabales; Fabaceae.
UUCUAAAGCAUAGAGGAAGUUCAUUCAUGAAGCAAUUUUGUAUUGCGUUGUGAAUGAAUUUUCCUUUGUGUUUAAGAAUUCGUGACACUUCCAUAGGAGCUGCGUCGCCGGUAAAUUUCUUACAGUGGAGGGUUCCGCAGAGAGCAAGGAAGUUACCUAAUGAUCUUAUUUCUUUCUCUCAUCUUGUGUUAUCCGAAAUCAAAGACUUCGUGUUUUCAUCAUUGAUGCUUUCUUUCCUCUCAUUCGCUUUGUUAUUUUUAUUACUUAAAGUUACAUCUUCACAACCACGUUUUAAUGCAGUUGCUUGAUUGACGUUUGAUUUUGGCAUCCCCUCUAUGAAUUGUUCUUAUUGAUCAACAAUGGCGAUCCAAGUGAACUGCUCUCAUUCCAACACUCUUCCCAAGAACGCUUCUCUUUUAACUAGCAAAAAGCAGAAUGUAUCAAUUGAAAGAGGAGAACAAUCGUUGAAAUAAUUGAUCAUAAAGAAGACUCAAAGUCAUGAAAAUGUUACAGAAAGGAAACUAUUUCAAGAUUCCAUGAAGAAAGCUUCAAUUUCUGCUGAAAAUCAAGAUGGAAAAGAAAACAAAUGUUUCAUUCAGGUGCAGACUUCACGUCUUUAGUGCAUCAAAGAAUUCAGCAGCUGCUAAAUUUGGAUCACUAUCUC